Molecule: ribosomal RNA, 567 nt
Filed under: Gloeandromyces pageanus f. pageanus
Lineage: Eukaryota; Fungi; Ascomycota; Laboulbeniomycetes; Laboulbeniales; Laboulbeniaceae
Description: SSU rRNA
Rfam family: Eukaryotic small subunit ribosomal RNA
Source: RNAcentral
GCAUGCUUUUGACGGGUAACGGGGAAUUAGGGUUCGACUCCGGAGAGGGAGCCUGAGAAACGGCUACCACAUCCAAGGAAGGCAGCAGGCGCGCAAAUUACCCAAUCCCAACAUGGGGAGGUAGUGACAAGAAAUACUGAUAUAGGGUCCUAUAGGAUCUUGUAAUUGGAAUGAGUACAAUUUAAACCCAUUAACGAGGAACAACUAGAGGGCAAGUCUGGUGCCAGCAGCCGCGGUAAUUCCAGCUCUAGUAGCAUACAUUAAAAUUGUUGCAGUUAAAACGCCCGUAGUUGAAGCUUAGGUCCUUAUCAUCUAGUCUGCCUCACCGCUAGCACUGGUAUGAUUGGGCCUUUUUUCUUGGUAAACUGUUAUGCCCUUUAUUGGGUGUGGCAGUGAACUAGGACUUUUACUUUGAAAAAAUUAGAGUGUUUAAAGCAGGCUUUUGCUCGAAUACCUUAGCAUGGAAUAAUGGAAUAUGACGAGUGGUUGUUUUUCAUUGGUUUUCACGACUACCGUAAUGAUUGAUAGGGAUGGUCGGGGGCAUCGGUAUUCGAUCGUCAGAGGUGA